CCCUAUUAUUUAGAAAUGUUAAUUUUUGUGCCUGAGUAGUAUUAGUUAUGUUCUUGAAACUUAAAGAAUUUGGCGGUAUCUCAUUCCGUCCAGAGGAAUCUGUCCCGUUAUCGAUAGUCCACGUUGGACCUUACUUAUUUGAUUUGGUUUGUAUACCGCCGUUUAUUGAUUAUCUUUUUAGGGAUUGGUUAAUUUUCUGGCUUCUUUAUUUUGAUAUAUUUCAGGUCAAGGUGCAGCUUGUUUUUAAGUGGAAUGAUGGAUUACACUGUUAUUUGUUUGUGGAUUGUUGGUUUUAAUAUUGGCAUGAAAUUGGAUUUGGUUGUAAUGAUUUGUAGAUUGUUAUUAUGAUAAUUGGUUCUGAGAUAUGCACACAUCGCCCGUCGCUCUCGUUUGUUUAUUAUAAUGAGAUAAGUC
Molecule: ribosomal RNA, 414 nt
Filed under: Nasutitermes wheeleri
Lineage: Eukaryota; Metazoa; Arthropoda; Insecta; Blattodea; Termitidae
Description: partial small subunit ribosomal RNA
Source: RNAcentral